This 793-nucleotide ribosomal RNA is filed under the name uncultured archaeon. Its description in RNAcentral is "bacterial SSU rRNA". It matches the Rfam family "Archaeal small subunit ribosomal RNA", at positions 85 to 879 of the family's 1478-position model. The record is from RNAcentral.
ACUGCUCAGUAACACGUGGACAACCUGCCCUUAGGUUGGGUAUAAACCCGGGAAACUGGGUAUAAUACCCGAUAGGUCUCGAUUGCUGGAAUGCAUCGAGAUUUAAAGCUCCGGCGCCUAAGGAUGGGUCUGCGGCCUAUCAGGUAGUAGUGGGUGUAGCGUACCUACUAGCCUACGACGGGUACGGGUUGUGAGAGCAAGAGCCCGGAGAUGGAUUCUGAGACACGAAUCCAGGCCCUACGGGGUGCAGCAGGCGCGAAAACUUUACAAUGCUGGCAACAGCGAUAAGGGAACCUCGAGUGCCAGGUUACAAAUCUGGCUGUCGAGAUGCCUAAAAAGCAUUUCAUAGCAAGGGCCGGGCAAGACCGGUGCCAGCCGCCGCGGUAACACCGGCGGCUCGAGUGGUAACCGUUAUUAUUGGGUCUAAAGGGUCUGUAGCCGGCCGGAUAAGUCUCUUGAGAAAUCUGGCAGCUUAACUGUCAGGCUUUCAGGAGAUACUGUCUGGCUCGAGGCCGGGAGAGGUGAGAGGUACUUCAGGGGUAGGGGUGAAAUCUUGUAAUCCUUGAUGGACCACCAGUGGCGAAGGCGUCUCACCAGAACGGACCUGACGGCAAGGGACGAAAGCUAGGGGCACGAACCGGAUUAGAUACCCGGGUAGUCCUAGCCGUAAACGAUACUCGCUAGGUGUCGGCCACGGUGCGACCGUUGUCGGUGCCGUAGGGAAGCCGUGAAGCGAGCCACCUGGGAAGUACGGCCGCAAGGCUGAAACUUAAAGGAAUUGGCGGGGGAGCAC